RNAcentral lists this ribosomal RNA (329 nucleotides) under uncultured eukaryote. RNAcentral describes it as "partial 18S ribosomal RNA". It matches the Rfam family "Eukaryotic small subunit ribosomal RNA", at positions 1470 to 1796 of the family's 1831-position model. The record is from RNAcentral.
CCCUUAGAUGUUCUAGGCCGCACGCGCGCUACACUGACGAUGGCAACGAGUUUUUCCUUCGCCGAAAGGUGUGGGUAAUCUUUUGAAACAUCGUCGUGCUGGGGAUAGAUCAUUGCAAUUUUUGAUCUUGAACGAGGAAUUCCUAGUAAGCGCGAGUCAUCAGCUCGCGUUGAUUACGUCCCUGCCCUUUGUACACACCGCCCGUCGCUACUACCGAUUGAAUGGUUUAGUGAGGACUCCUGAUUGGCGCCGCCGCCCCGGCAACGGAGCAGCGGACUGCCGAAAAGUUGUUCAAACUUGAUCAUUUAGAGGAAGUAAAAGUCGUAACA